RNAcentral lists this ribosomal RNA (473 nucleotides) under uncultured bacterium. Its description in RNAcentral is "partial 16S ribosomal RNA". It matches the Rfam family "Bacterial small subunit ribosomal RNA", at positions 28 to 523 of the family's 1533-position model. The record is from RNAcentral.
GACGAACGCUGGCGGCGUGCUUAACACAUGCAAGUCGAACGGUAAGGCCCUUCGGGGUACACGAGUGGCGAACGGGUGAGUAACACGUGGGUGAUCUGCCCUGCACUUCGGGAUAAGCCUGGGAAACUGGGUCUAAUACCGGAUAGGACCACUGCCUGCAUGGGUGGUGGUGGAAAGCUUUUGCGGUGUGGGAUGAGCACGCGGUUGGUUAGUUAGUUGGUGGGAUAAGAGCUUACCAAGACGAUGAUCAAUAGCUGUUCUGAGAGGAAGAUCAGCCACACUGGGACUGAGACACGGCCCAGACUCCUACGGGAGGCAGCAGUGGGGAAUUUUGGACAAUGGGGGGAACCCUGAUCCAGCAAUGCCGCGUGAGUGAAGAAGGCCUUCGGGUUGUAAAGCUCUUUUACUGAUGAAGAUGAUGACGGUAAUCAGAGAAUAAGUUCCGGCAAACUUCGUGCCAGCAGCCGCAGUAA